RNA transcript from Piliocolobus tephrosceles (Ugandan red Colobus), 4613 nucleotides. It is a transcript of the gene named ubiquitin conjugation factor E4 B pseudogene, with no coding region annotated. The record is from RefSeq and is a predicted model, not a curated record. NCBI's taxonomy places the organism in Eukaryota, Metazoa, Chordata, Mammalia, Primates, Cercopithecidae. The transcript has a single exon.
CUGGGCUCUGCCAGGACGGCUGUGGGGUCGCCUUACCUCGGGGUAUCCACUCUGCAGUGGACCAGUUCCCGCCAGGGGCAAAGGGUAGGAAGGAGAGCAGGAUCUGCUGUAGGAACGCAGCUACCGCGCCACUAUCACGAAGACACAGCAGGCUCGGGGCACGAGACGAGCUGGAGACCGCGCUGCCUAGUCUGGGUAACCUGGGAAGCAGAGGGUAGUAAGUGGCGCCUUAAGAUAACCCUGUAGCAGCAGCAGUGGCGGCCAGAGGAGGCUGCUCAGGGAACAAGCGGCUGUAGUAGUCUCUGGGGCGAUUGGAGUGACCGAAGCCAAGGCAGUUCAGUGCCUCUUGUGUUCUUAUUUUUUAACCUCUGACUAUGCAAUUCUGAAACCUCCCCCAUUCGGGGGACGAGACAGCCUGAUAGACACCUUCUACUCUCCUUCCUCCCGCCGUGGUCUCGAGAACAGAAGGAUCUCUCCCUAACGCCUUUCACCAUUAAGAGGAAAGCGAUGGAGGAGCUGAGCGCUGAUGAGAUUCGACGGAGGCGCCUUGCACGACUUGCUGGUGGACAGACCUCUCAGCCAACCACCCCACUAACCUCUCCCCAGAGGGAGAACCCUCCGGGGCCUCCCAUAGCGGCAUCAGCCCCAGGACCCUCUCAGAGUCUUGGUCUCAAUGUCCACAACAUGACCCCAGCUACCUCCCCAAUAGGUGCAUCAGGAGUAGCCCAUCGAAGCCAGAGCAGUGAAGGAGUCAGUUCUCUCAGCAGCUCGCCCUCUAAUAGCCUUGAAACGCAAUCUCAGUCUCUCUCACGUUCCCAGAGCAUGGAUAUUGAUGGUGUCUCAUGUGAGAAAAGCAUGUCCCAGGUGGAUGUGGAUUCAGGAAUUGAAAACAUGGAGGUUGAUGAAAAUGAUCGAAGAGAAAAACGGAGCCUCAGUGAUAAGGAGCCUUCCUCGGGCCCUGAAGUGUCUGAAGAGCAGGCCUUACAGCUGGUCUGUAAGAUCUUCCGUGUCUCUUGGAAGGACCGGGACAGAGAUGUCAUCUUUCUUUCUUCUCUUUCGGCACAAUUGAAGCAGAACCCAAAAGAAGUGUUCUCCGAUUUUAAGGACUUGAUUGGCCAGAUUUUAAUGGAAGUGCUAAUGAUGUCCACUCAGACUAGAGAUGAAAACCCAUUUGCCAGUCUGACAGCCACAUCACAGCCAAUUGCUGCAGCAGCACGGUCACCAGACAGAAAUCUCUUGCUAAAUACUGGCUCCAAUCCAGGAACAAGCCCCAUGUUCUGCAACGUGGGUUCCUUUGGUGCCAGCUCUUUGUCUAGUUUGGGAGCCUCUGGUGGAGCAAGUAAUUGGGAUUCCUACAGUGACCAUUUCACCAUUGAAACCUGCAAAGAGACAGAUAUGCUGAACUACCUCAUCGAGUGUUUCGACCGAGUUGGAAUAGAGGAAAAAAAAGCACCAAAGAUGUGCAGCCAGCCAGCAGUCAGCCAGCUUCUGAGCAACAUCCGCUCACAGUGCAUAUCCCAUACUGCUUUAGUACUACAAGGCUCCCUAACACAGCCCAGGUCCUUGCAGCAGCCGUCCUUCCUAGUGCCGUAUAUGCUGUGUAGGAAUCUCCCAUAUGGCUUCAUUCAGGAACUGGUGAGAACCACUCACCAGGAUGAAGAAGUGUUCAAGCAGAUAUUUAUCCCCAUUUUACAAGGCCUGGCUCUUGCUGCCAAAGAGUGCUCCCUCGAUAGUGACUACUUUAAAUACCCCCUCAUGGCACUAGGUGAGCUCUGUGAAACCAAGUUUGGAAAGACACACCCUGUGUGCAAUUUGGUUGCUUCUUUGCCGUUGUGGUUGCCGAAAUCCUUAAGUCCUGGCUGUGGGCGGGAGCUGCAGAGACUUUCUUACUUGGGGGCUUUCUUUAGCUUCUCCGUCUUUGCAGAAGAUGAUGUUAAAGUGGUUGAAAAAUACUUCUCAGGGCCUGCCAUUACCCUGGAAAACACUCGUGUGGUUAGCCAAUCAUUGCAGCAUUACUUAGAGCUCGGAAGGCAAGAGCUUUUUAAGAUUCUGCAUAGUAUUUUGUUCAAUGGCGAAACCCGUGAGGCUGCUCUCAGUUACAUGGCGGCUGUCGUCAAUGCCAAUAUGAAGAAAGCACAGAUGCAGACAGAUGAUAGAUUAGUAUCUACAGAUGGAUUUAUGCUGAAUUUCCUUUGGGUACUGCAGCAGCUAAGUACAAAAAUCAAGUUAGAAACAGUUGAUCCCACGUAUAUUUUUCACCCAAGAUGUCGGAUUACUCUUCCAAAUGAUGAGACACGUGUGAAUGCCACGAUGGAAGAUGUGAAUGACUGGCUGACUGAACUCUAUGGCGAUCAGCCUCCAUUUUCUGAGCCGAAAUUCCCUACGGAGUGCUUCUUUCUCACCCUGCAUGCUCACCACCUGUCUAUUCUGCCUAGUUGCCGUCGCUAUAUCCGCAGACUCCGGGCUAUCCGGGAGCUCAAUAGAACUGUAGAAGAUUUGAAAAAUAAUGAAAGCCAAUGGAAAGAUUCCCCACUGGCAACCAGACACCGCGAAAUGCUGAAGCGCUGUAAAACUCAGCUUAAGAAACUGGUACGGUGCAAGGCCUGUGCUGAUGCUGGCCUACUUGACGAGAGCUUCCUGAGAAGAUGUCUGAAUUUUUAUGGCCUUCUCAUUCAGCUGCUGCUCCGCAUCCUGGACCCCGCAUAUCCCGAUAUAACGCUGCCUUUAAAUUCAGAUGUCCCCAAGGUAUUUGCAGCAUUGCCUGAGUUUUAUGUAGAAGAUGUUGCAGAAUUUUUAUUUUUUAUUGUACAAUACUCUCCCCAGGCGCUUUAUGAGCCCUGUACUCAGGAUAUUGUGAUGUUCCUUGUUGUGAUGUUGUGCAACCAGAACUACAUCCGAAACCCAUAUUUGGUGGCCAAACUGGUAGAAGUCAUGUUUAUGACCAACCCUGCUGUUCAGCCGCGAACCCAGAAGUUUUUUGAAAUGAUUGAGAACCAUCCUCUCUCCACCAAGUUGUUGGUACCUUCCCUGAUGAAGUUUUAUACAGAUGUUGAGCAUACCGGAGCCACCAGCGAGUUUUAUGACAAGUUCACAAUUCGCUAUCACAUUAGCACCAUUUUUAAAAGCCUUUGGCAAAACAUAGCUCACCAUGGCACCUUUAUGGAGGAGUUCAACUCCGGGAAGCAGUUUGUUCGCUAUAUAAACAUGUUGAUAAACGACACGACGUUUUUGCUUGAUGAAAGUCUGGAGUCUCUGAAGCGAAUCCAUGAAGUGCAGGAAGAGAUGAAGAACAAAGAACAGUGGGACCAGUUGCCCCGGGAUCAGCAGCAGGCCCGUCAGUCUCAGCUUGCUCAGGAUGAGCGCGUGUCCCGCUCUUAACUCGCCCUGGCCACCGGAACUUGGACCCCGAUUGGCGGCAAUGCUGAACUUUAAUCUUCAGCAACUCUGUGGCCCCAAGUGCCGUGACCUGAAAGUUGAAAACCCUGAGAAGUACGGCUUUGAACCAAAGAAGCUGUUGGACCAACUGACGGAUAUUUACUUACAGCUGGACUGUGCCCGGUUCGCGAAAGCCAUUGCUGACGACCAGAGAUCCUACAGUAAGGAGUUGUUUGAAGAAGUAAUUUCCAAGAUGCGGAAGGCAGGGAUCAAAUCCACAAUAGCGAUAGAAAAAUUUAAGCUGCUCGCCGAGAAAGUGGAGGAGAUAGUGGCCAAGAACGCACGCGCAGAAAUUGACUACAGUGACGCUCCUGAUGAGUUCAGAGACCCCCUGAUGGACACCCUCAUGACGGACCCCAUGCGGCUGCCCUCCGGCACCAUCAUGGACCGCUCCAUUAUCCUGCGGCACCUGCUCAACUCCCCCACGGACCCCUUCAACCGGCAGACGCUGACAGAGAGCAUGCUGGAACCAGUGCCAGAACUGAAAGAGCAGAUUCAGGCAUGGAUGAGAGAGAAACAGAACAGCGAUCACUAAACCGUUCCGCCGCCCACCCUCUGCUAGAUACAGCCAAGGCCAACGAGGCAAGCAGAAGCAGCGGCCGCAGCAAAGCUGCCGUUCACGUGUUGGAGGCCAAAUGUGGCAAACCACCCCAGGCCACCCAGAGCGAGCGAAUGCCGAGACCUGAGAGGACAUGGAUGAGAAGAGGAGCCCGGUUCCUGUACAUAUAUUUAAGUGACAAACACGCUCAAAAGCUUAAAGGACAGGUUUUAUGGUUGCUUGUGUAAUAAAGCACGUCCUUCGUAUGUCAUAGUUUGGGGCAACGGAAGUCUUUUAGUGAUGGCUAAUGGGUCUGGGCAGCAUCCCUUCAUGAAUUUUUUUUUUAAUCCAAUAUCCGUUGAUUUGAUUGUGAUUAGAGAACCUUGGACAUUUUGCUGCUAAAGAAUCUUUUCUCCCGUCUCCCCCUUCCUGACCCUACUUGCACUGCUGUGGAUUUUUUUAAGAGAAGCAAAAACAAAAAUAAACUCCUCUCCCUGGCCCACCAAACAUAUAUUCUGUGAGAUAACUGUGCCUGCUACCAAGUGUUAAUCCUGGGAUCGUAUUUUUAUAUCAUAUUCACAUAUUUGUUUUUUUAAUUGGUGUUAGAUGACAUGAUUAAUAAAAAAGGCAAGAUAUUUUC